AACUUGUGUUGUUGACACUAUGAUUCGGCUUCCUUUGUUGUUGUUUGGCAGGCAUUUUUCGAUCUGGUCCCACUCUUCAAUGGUGCAGAGGUCAGUAAGCACAAUGAGAAACCUCUUCUCCUUCACAUAUCCAUCGAACUCCUGAACUAAAUCGCGCGUGGUCUUCUCUGUGUCCAAUAUAUCUUUAUAUCCUUCCACCGCAAGAAAUUGGUUCACUAAGCAUCCGUUCUCAUUUGAGAAAAUGAAGCGGUGACCGUUGGAGAGCCCGAUCUAGGAAAGAGCAGCAAAUUGGACUAGUUCCACCUUAUUUUGCUAGCUUAGUGAUAAAUAUUAAUUAUCGAUAACAAAAUUUGACACCAUCAAUUCUUUAAACCUGACCUGGUAAGAUCAAGUAACUUAUUUGGUUGAAUUUUCAAUUUAAUUUGGCUAGAUCAAAUUCAAGUUAGAUAUCCCAAAAAAGUCAAGUUAGAAAACAAUAGCAGAUUGUAAGAUAUUGGGCUUCUUUCUUAGUUCAAAAUUUGACCUAGUGAUUUCAUCUACAGAACUUAGUAAAGUGUCAGGGUAGGUGCCAGGUGGCUAGAUGAAAUCACUAGGCCCACAAAUGACAUGCUUGAGCCUCACUAGCGUCGAACCCACCAUUCCAUUCAUCUCAUAAAUUAGCUCACACUUCAUAAACUUUAGCUAACGCUCAUGUCGAAAAUUUAGUAGUCUAAUCUUUCCAUCAUUAACCCAAAAAAAUGCAAACCAUGAUAAUGUGCAAUUGUACGCUAACAACAAAAGGAAAUGAACUUUGGCCACUCAUUUAUAAACAAGUGUUUGGAUGGGCCUACAAAUAAUAUCAUGGAAUUCUCGUCAUGUACCCGUAUCUUGUCCCUGGUCUCAGAAUCUGGAGCAGCACUUAUCCUUUCGAAAUCCCAGGGAAAGUAAACAUCGUCGAGCUUCGUUGAUGCUUUGGAGAAAUUCUAGCCCAGAAAAUCCAAUCACAUUAUUUGCUCCCCCUGUGAAAUGCAGCCGCUCAAGUUUGGGCAUUAUUCCUUCUUCAAACUUUACGGCCGAUUUGAUGUACCGUAUGCAGCUGCUGCAAGGCAGGCCCGCUGAUCUUCAGCCUGGUAGGUGUGCUCGAACCUGCCGCAACCGCAAAGUAUAUAAAGAGGUUACAGAUCAGAGUCUCCCGAAAUGGCAAAAGUGCAAACCUGUACGAGACUCAGUACACCGUCACAAUUGGUUCGUUUCUAUUACCAGCAAGCAGUUCCUGGAUUUUCUUCUUCAGCCAUCCAUUGUUAUUACUGAGCUGGACCUCGUUGAUGCUUUGGAGAAAUUCUAGCCCAGAAAAUCCAAUUUCAUUAUUUGCUUCCCCUAUGACCUGCAGCAGAUCAUUAUUUGCUUCCCUUAUGACCUGCAGCAGCUCAAGUUUGGGCAUUAUUCCUUCUUCAAACUUUACCGAUUUGAUGUACUCUAUGUCUAGCAUGAGCACCCUGAGGCUUCCGAAAGCUCUUCCAGUCUGCUGAGAUCGGAAACGAAGUUCUUCACCCUGAAACGAUUGACGAGACAAGCUUAGAAUUUCCAGCUUUGACAUUUUCCCAAGGAAUUCCAUAGCAGCAUCGUGCUCCAAUAGCCUGGUGCUCACUAGUUUCAACUUCACGAGAUGCGGGAGCUCCUUGAUCCAUUUCGGCAACGUUUCCAGAUUGCCGUAGAGCCUGAGGCUCUGCAGGUUUUCUGGAGGCGGGUAUAGUGAUUCCAAGCAGCCAUGCAAACCUGGCUUCCCUGCCGAACUCACAGAUAGUGAUUCCAGCCUGCUGAGAUUGGAAAUGGCAGCGCGAAAAGCUGGGCCAUUCUUCCUGUUGAUGCCUGCAACUCCUAACUUGCGCAACCCCGUGAGCAUUUUGAUGUCCUGUAGAACAGCAUUUCCCCUUCCGACAUGCACUCCCCGAAAUGUGUGCAACUCUUUCAGUUUUCUUGUCCCCCUUGGCACCAUAGCACCCCUUUCUUCAUGAACUCCUGUCAUGACAGCAGGGAAAAGCACGCAGCAAGCGAAAGUGCAUGCAUCACGCCUUGUAAGGGCCUUAUGGAGAGAGCCAUCAAUGUCCCGAAGAAGAGGUACGCAACAUGUUGCACAUUGACGCGCCCCCCAAAGACAUCUCCUGGUUAAACUGUCCUUUUCUAGUGUUACAUAAUCUGAUAUCUGACCAGCAUUGAUGUACUGUAGCUUCCGAAGCAUGAUGAUGGUUUUGGGCAGAGCCAUUACGCUUGUACCUUUGACGUCUAGCACUUGGAGCUGUCUCAGGUUGCCCAAUGAAUCUGGCAGUAGAUAAAUACGAAAACAUCCUCGUAGAGAAAGGUAUUUUAGGUGAAGAAGCUUCCAAAUAUGAUCAAGCUGAUGGGAUUGUAUAUAAUAUUUCUGAUAAUCAUCUAUGCCUUCUAAGUCGAGCACUCGUAGAAGCCUCAUCUUGUCAGAAAUGUAAAAUGGUCUGAAUUCUCCAAACACGGUUAGUGAUCGUAAUCAUGACACAUCAACUAUUCUCUCUAACUCACUCUGAUCUCCUUUCCAGUUGCUCCUUAUUGCAAGACGACGAAUUGCGCCAUGGGUACUCAAGCCACAUCCUUCCUCCAGUCUAAAAACAAGGUUUUCUUCCAUUGACUUUGAGAUGGCAAUGUCACGGAUGAGAUCAUGGACUUUGCAAGGGUCAAUUGAUUUUGUACUGCGAACUGAUUGUUGAAAUGGUAAAAUCAUGCUUCUGUAUUUGAGUUCUGUGAAGUAAUUUUCAGCCAUUACAUUGGCAGACUUACCACGCCUCUCGUGUGAGUAUCCUUCUGCUGUCCAUCGACUCACCAAACGCCUCUGGCUAAUGAUGUGGUCCUCAGGAAAAAUGGACAGAUAUAAGAAACAUGACUUGAGUUCAUAGGGUAAACCAUCAUAACUUGUCUGAAGGACGGUUCUUAUCAUCCCAAGCUCUGGAUUCAUCUCUAACUCAGCACUGAUAUUUUCAUUCAACUUUCUCCACUCAGCUCUAGUCUUUGGCCGGCUUGCCAAGUAGCCACCUAUUGUAACUAUUGCAAGGGGAAGUCCACCACACUUCUUUAGGAUUUUUUUUGUUUCUUCAACCAACUCGGGAUUCUUCCUAAUCAAAUCUGUUGCCUUCACAAGGCGAAGUCCACCACACGUCUUUAAGUUUUGGUUUGCUUCUUCAGCAAACUCUGGAUUCUGCUUAACAAAAUCUGCAGCCUUCCCAAAUACCUGAUUUUAAUGCAAUUUAAGUAUUUUAGUACUCCAAUCUAAAAAUAAAUAAAUAAUUGUGCAUUACUUGUUGAUAUUUUGUUUGCUAGUGAUAGGUGCACAAUUGGUUGUGCACAGUGAUAAGCACAUACUGAAACAACAGUUUUCCUGUGAAACUUGGUGAUAUAUAAUUUUUUUUUUAAGUUUGGCUGAAACUUGUCCAUUAUUCUUUUAUAAAAUAUUGCUGAAAAUUCUCACAACUUCACGAACUUUCCUGGGAGUUGCCUUUCAUAAAACUUGCCCAUUAUUCUUUUAAUUUUUUUCUUUAUGAGAGCUGUUAGUUUCCUUUAAUCUAACAUAUAUGAAUAUGAUGAUCUGAGGUAUACGAGAUCGGUAUACAAUACUAGGGAACUACUAAGUUUCACCUGAGGGUUUUAGAUGGCUUCAACACCAGAAUUUGGUCCUGCAGUUUUAUGCCAACACUUAUGCUUUAGGGGUGAUAUGUAUAUAAGUUAAGAAAUUCAGGCCUCAAAAUGACAACUGACUUUUGUUUAUACCAUAUAAAUAUAAGCAGUUUAAUUUUGAAUUAGGGCUAGUCUACCCAUAAUUUACAUUCACGUUUUCUUAUAAUUUUUAAGUAAUAAGAGUGUAAUAAAAAUUCAACUAUUGGAUACCCGAAUAUAACACUUGAUCCUUUUGUUAGUAUGAAGCUAGAUCUAAGUUGAGUUAAUAUCUUGAAAUUGGAUAGCUGAAAAUCAGGUGGUGGAAACCCCUAAAAUGCUUGAGUGACAUAUAUAUAUAGUAAGGAUAAAAAAUAUACAAGUACAUUCACUUGAAGUGAAAUAUGACACACCACGUAGCAACAACUCAAAACAAAUGUAGGAUGCGCUACUUGAAAAUAAUUUAAUAUACAUAUGGCAUCAUGUUCUUUUCAUAGUAAUAUCUCAAAUUGUUAUUAUGCUAGAUACAAAAAUUUUAACCAGUGUAAAAGUCCCCAAGUUAUUAACAUUGCUAUGAAGACCCAUAGACAUUUAAUACUUUUUUUAGCAACCAAAUGAAGCAACGAAUACUACUACUCGAUCCGAGGAUGUUUUCAGUGUUUUAGUGGGUGGGGGGUAAUUAAUAGUUUUUAAAUAAUAUUAUCUUUGUAGUCAAUUGUAAAUAAUUUUCAUUAAUGAAAUAAAGAAAAAAUAAAAUAGAUAGUUGACUGUGCUAUUGGAAACUCCUAAUAUUGGAAAAGUCAGAUAAUAUAAUGACAAAAGUACCUUCCCUUAAGAUCCUCAGAAAAAUGAGAACUAUUUUGUUGUUUCACAUGGAUAAAUGAGUAGGAAGGGGAAUUAAACAAAUAAGGACAAAAGAAAUCAAAGCAUUCUCUAUUGUGUUCAACAAGAGGACAAAACACAUUUUUGUUGUGUUCUGGUGGUGUUUGUGGUCUUGUGUUUUGAGAACAGGCAUCAUUGAUAUACUGGGAGGCAAAAAUUACGUUAUAUAUGAAUCAUGGAUGUAUAGGUCAUUAGCGGCAAUAAUUGGGAUGGCAACAGCCUGUUGAAUAUCAGCGUAUUGAUCAUCUUGGUUCAGUUGUUCAAAUGAUAAACAAAGGUGAAACAAUUUGCAUGUUCUCAUAUGUUCCCAUCUUUAAUCUCUACGAAAUGCUAGACUGUUGUAGUAAUAAUGCUAUUUAAAAUCAAGCAAAAGUGACAAGGUUUCUAUUAUAUUACCUUUAAGCUGAAGAGGUUAAGUGCGUCCUCUUCUUUUAGAACUUCAAGGUUGUGUACUAUUCCAUAAUUCCCGGAACAAUGCUUUGCAAUGCUUUCCUCCCUUGUAGUCACAAUUAUUCAGGUUGUUUUUUCCAUCCAAGAAAACCCUUGUAUUAUAUGGUCCCAUUCUUCAAUGGAUGACAAAUCGUCCAGAACAAUCAAGCAGCUCUUCUUUUCUAAAAGCCUUUUCAACUCUUUAGUGAAGUUUUUAACCCCCAUCAUUGCUAAUGAUUCAGUCUUGCUGUAUCUAUUGUUCAAUAGUUCUUCCUUCUUAGAAGACUCUUCUUGUAAUCGCCCAACUAAACUUCUAAGUAGAUCUGCAGGAUUGAAAGGACGCAUGAUUGUGACAAAGGCAUGCUUCUCAAACAUGUCACUUCAAACAUGUCACUUAACUUUGGGCUUUGAUAAAUGCCGUUGGCUAGAGUGGUUUUUUCAAGACCACCCAUUCCCCAAAUAGAGAUCACUUGACAUUGUUGGCUAGCCUUGUUUGAGAUUAAUCCUAUAAUUUUGGAUAUUUAUUUCUCUCUCCCAAUAAGUUGAGAUUCCACUAAAGAACCAACACCCGCUCUGAUGCGAGUGAGGCUCUUUUUGUCCACCUUUGUUUCAUCAACAUUCUUACACUGAUCCUCUGUUAUCUCACUAGGGGCCACUGUUUGGGCAUUUGUACUGGCAGUGACCACAUCUGGGCUAGAUACUGGAUCCACGGAAACCAUUUCAUUUUGAGAAACCUGAACAAACACAAAGUACAAUUAUUGGAAGCAACCUUUAAACUUCUUCUUCUUGUUGUUAUUUUUUUAAGGUUAUGUGUACCUAUAACCAAAGUACUAUAUAACCUUUUAUGUAAUCGUGCAAUCAGUGACUAUUGGUCAUAAAUCAAUUUAGCAAGGUAUGAAAAUUACAUAUAACAGAAAUCUUACCUCGCUGCGGUGCUUAAGUUUUUAACAUAUAUAAGCUGAAGUCCUAACGUAAAUGACUAAUGUCAUAGUUGAAGACAUCAGGGGUAAAGGGUUAUGGUUUCAAAUGAUCCACCUCCCUCUGAAAUCCUAAAAUCCACCCAGUUAUUACUCAGUAAUCUAUAGUUUAAACGAUGCUCCCUAUUGAUAGAAAUAUCUUGGUGUCCUCCUAUCUAAAUAUUUAAGAGUUUAGUGGCUGUGUUAAUAUUAGCUGUUGAAGAAGCCGUAAAUUAUAAUUUCUUCAUCUAAAAUUUAGUGAUGAAUCCCAAGUUAUCCUCCCCUCAAGAGAUGCUGCGAUGAACAUAGACUACAGCAAUGCACGGAUUCAGUAUCUUUCCUCUUCAUAUAGAUUUUCAGUUAGCAAAUGCUGUGAUUUCACAAUUUUUCUAGUAUAUCCAUUCAUUAAAUCUGCUGGAAUAUCCUCUACGAUUUAACAAGGUAUUAUUUUUCACAUUGACAGUGGGAGGUUGCUUUUCAAGCACAGAUGGGACAAUUGCUUUAUUUAUAGAUCAAUAUAAUUAAAAUGAAGCUUCAAAAUUUACAAUUAAGCAAGGAAGCUUAUACUCCCUCCGUUUCAAAUUGUAGGCCGCUUUAACUUUUUUAGAUACAUAUUUUUUGCUAUGCACCUAAAUGGUUAUGUUUAGAUACAUAGCAAAAUCUAUAUAUUUAUAAAAGCUAAAGUGAGCUAUAAUUUGAAACAGAGGAAGUACUUUGUUACUCUGUAAAUUUGCAUAUUAAUGUGUUAGCCAAUCUAGUACCUUUUAUCCAUUCCCUUUUCAGGCAAUUGCUUAAAUGCUAUUGGAAAAUAAUAUAAUCCUUGAUACGAUCGAUAACUGAAUCAGAAUAAUGAUGUCAUAGAAUGCUACUAAAAAUAAAAAUAUAAGUAUUACCUUGUCAUAGAAUGCAUAAAGCGUGUGAUCGGCAGACAAUUGCUUAGCUCUGAGGCUUGGCUAUCUUGCCCUGCACAUAAGCUUGCAACUUCAACUUGUGUUGUUGACACUAUGAUUCGGCUUCCUUUGUUGUUGUUUGGCAGGCAUUUUUCGAUCUGGUCCCACUCUUCAAUGGUGCAGAGGUCAGUAAGCACAAUGAGAAACCUCUUCUCCUUCACAUAUCCAUCGAACUCCUGAACUAAAUCGUGCGCGGUCUUCUCUGUGUCCAAUAUAUCUUUAAAUCCUUCCACUGCAAGAAAUUGGUUCAC
RNAcentral lists this long non-coding RNA (7122 nucleotides) under Setaria italica (foxtail millet). Its description in RNAcentral is "long non-coding RNA (SITA_LNC006097)". The record is from RNAcentral. Lineage: Eukaryota; Viridiplantae; Streptophyta; Magnoliopsida; Poales; Poaceae.